This 517-nucleotide ribosomal RNA is filed under the name uncultured bacterium. RNAcentral describes it as "bacterial SSU rRNA". It matches the Rfam family "Bacterial small subunit ribosomal RNA", at positions 399 to 917 of the family's 1533-position model. The record is from RNAcentral.
GCGUGAAGAAUAAGGUCCUCUGGAUUGUAAACUUCUUUUAUUUGGGAAGAAAUGUGAGAAUUCUUUUUCACUUGACGGUACCAGAUGAAUAAGCACCGGCUAACUCCGUGCCAGCAGCCGCGGUAAUACGGAGGGUGCAAGCGUUAUCCGGAUUUACUGGGUUUAAAGGGUGCGCAGGCGGAUAUGUAAGUCAGUGGUGAAAUCUCUGGGCUUAACCCGGAAAUUGCCAUUGAUACUAUAUAUCUUGAAUGCUGUGGGGGUAAGCGGAAUAUGUCAUGUAGCGGUGAAAUGCUUAGAGAUGACAUAGAACACCUAUUGCGAAGGCAGCUUACUACGCAGAGAUUGACGCUCAUGCACGAAAGCGUGGGGAUCAAACAGGAUUAGAUACCCUGGUAGUCCACGCCCUAAACGAUGAUUACUCGACAUACGCGAUACACUGUGUGUGUCUGAGCGAAAGCAUUAAGUAAUCCACCUGGGAAGUACGAUCGCAAGAUUGAAACUCAUAGAAAUUGACGGA